RNAcentral lists this ribosomal RNA (1042 nucleotides) under uncultured bacterium. Its description in RNAcentral is "bacterial SSU rRNA". It matches the Rfam family "Bacterial small subunit ribosomal RNA", at positions 338 to 1397 of the family's 1533-position model. The record is from RNAcentral.
CAUACGGGAGGCAGCAGUUAGGAAUAUUGGACAAUGGGCGAAAGCCUGAUCCAGCCAUGCCGCGUGUGUGAUGAAGGCCUUAGGGUUGUAAAGCACUUUCGUUGGGGAUGAUAAUGACCGUACCCAAAGAAGAAGCACCGGCUAACUUCGUGCCAGCAGCCGCGGUAAUACGAAGGGUGCAAGCGUUGUUCGGAAUCACUGGGCGUAAAGAAUGCGUAGGCGGCUAAACAAGUCAGGAGUGAAAUCCCAGGGCUUAACCCUGGAACUGCUUCUGAAACUAUUUGGCUAGAGUCCCGGAGGGGUUAGCGGAAUUCCGAGUGUAGAGGUGAAAUUCGCAGAUAUUCGGAGGAACACCAGUGGCGAAGGCGGCUAACUGGACGGGAACUGACGCUGAGGCAUGAAAGUGUGGGGAUUAAACAGGAUUAGAUACCCUGGUAGUCCACACCGUAAACGAUGUGUGCUAGUUGUCGGGUAGUUUACUAUUCGGUGACGGAGCUAACGUUUUAAGCACACCGCCUGGGAAGUACGGCCGCAAGGUUAAAACUCAACGGAAUUGACGGGGACCCGCACAAGCGGUGGAACAUGUCCUUUAAUUCGUAGCAACGCGAAGAACCUUACCUACCCUUGACAUAUCAGUUGAGAUUUCCAGAGAUGGAUUUCGUCAUUUAGUUGGACUGAAUACAGGUGCUGCAUGGCUGUCGUCAGCUCGUGUCGUGAGAUGUUGGGUUAAGUCCCGCAACGAGCGCAACCCUCGCCUUUAGUUGCCAUCAUUAAGUUGGGCACUCUAAAGGGACUGCCCGGGUUAACCGGGAGGAAGGUGAGGAUGACGUCAAGUCCUCAUGGCCUUUAUGUCUAGGGCUACACACGUGCUACAAUGGUCGGUACAAAGGGCUGCAAACCCGUAAGGGGGAGCGAAUCUCAAAAAACCGGCCUCAGUUCAGAUCGAGGUCUGCAACUCGACCUCGUGAAGGCGGAAUCGCUAGUAAUCCCGGAUCAGCACGCCGGGGUGAAUACGUUCCCGGGCCUUGUACACACCGCCCGU